Molecule: long non-coding RNA, 659 nt
Filed under: Bos taurus (domestic cattle)
Lineage: Eukaryota; Metazoa; Chordata; Mammalia; Artiodactyla; Bovidae
Description: long non-coding RNA NONBTAT000408
Source: RNAcentral
CAUUUCUGAAGCCUAGAGAAUGUGCCAUUAGCCUUGUCUAAAUCUAUAUUCUCUCUCCUUUCUAUCAUUGCAAUUUCAUUGUCCAGAACAGAGCUUGGCAGAGGGCUAAAUAGGAAGGCUAAAUGUAUUUCCUAGAAGCUGUAUGUUAAUAACAGUUUUAACCUUGAGUAAUGCUCAUAAGAAAUAGAAAGUGACAUUAGAACUUGAAAAAACUUAAGUUACUCUAUUGGAUAGCAGGAUUAGAUAUCCUCUAAAUUCAUGUAAUCUGAGAAGUAAUCAUAAAUUGGAGAAAUAAAAUCAACCAUUUCUUAUAUUUCCUUGAGCUUUAUAAAUGUCAUUAGUUUUUCCUAAGAUAUUGUCUUCUAUUGUUACAUAGCACUAGCGAUAUAGAAAUUACAACCAAUGAAGGGAACACUGGUAGGAACACAGGAAUGAAAAAUGUUGGAAUAAUUUCCAUCACAUAAAGGGUUGGUAUUAAUAUAGGUUGGAAUCGGGGCAGGGGAUGGGGGAUAACUGCACAUUUUGAUUUGGGGUUCCUCUUUGAAGUUCCAUUUUACCAGAAAUAAUUUUCUUUCUGCCUACAUCCAUGUGAUAGCAUAAUCAUCCUCUUAUCUGGUCUGGAAUCACCAUCAAUAGGAAUAAACUUCUGAGUUACUUAG